AGCCUCUCCAUACGUCCUGUGAGCCUUCACCAGCAACCUCUCAGCUCAGCUUCCUCUGCAGCCACCUCCCACCCGUGGAUCACCCACUUCUGACACCAGACACUGGACCGAAGAGCUACAUUUAAAAUUUUCCCUGACUGAUUUAUACCCUGCCUGCUUCCAGAAGGGAUGACAAUGAAACCGCAGGAACAAAGGAGGAAACCCGGAGCGAGUCCCUGUUUGAGACCACUGCACCUGGCCUUGUGGGCCAUCCAUCCAGAAGAGGAAUGCGUAUUGUGCCCCCUGGAAGAGGCGGGCACGAUCCCAAAUCAUGUCCGGAAGUGAAAGGGGAAGAGGAAGAGGUGAAAAGUGCUGAGUGUGGGCUUUGUAGCGAGGUUCCCUCUUUGGGGAGGGCCAGAGGAGGCUUUGGCUAAACUCCACCCACUUCUAAUCACUCUCUGAGCCUUAAGAACAAGCCCAGCAACUGGGGAGGUUGAGGCUGGAGGAUGGCAGAUCCAAGGCCAGCUUGGGCAACUGAGUGAAACCUGGUCUCAAAAAAUGGAAAGGAGGACUGUGGGUAGAACUCGGUUGGA
Molecule: long non-coding RNA, 572 nt
Organism: Peromyscus maniculatus bairdii (prairie deer mouse)
Lineage: Eukaryota; Metazoa; Chordata; Mammalia; Rodentia; Cricetidae
Source: RefSeq, a predicted model, not a curated record